UACGGAAGGCAGCAGUGGGGAAUAUUGCACAAUGGGCGCAAGCCUGAUGCAGCCAUGCCGCGUGUAUGAAGAAGGGCCUUCGGGUUGUAAAGUACUUUCAGUCGUGAGGAAGGUGUUAAGGUUAAUAACCUUAGCAAUUGACGUUAGCGACAGAAGAAGCACCGGCUAACUCCGUGCCAGCAGCCGCGGUAAUACGGAGGGUGCGAGCGUUAAUCGGAAUUACUGGGCGUAAAGGGCACGCAGGCGGUUAAUUAAGUUGGAUGUGAAAUCCCCGGGCUUAACCUGGGAAUGGCAUUCAAGACUGGUUAGCUAGAGUCUUGUAGAGGGGGUAGAAUUCCAUGUGUAGCGGUGAAAUGCGUAGAGAUGUGGAGGAAUACCGGUGGCGAAGGCGGCCCCUGGGACAAAGGACUGACGCUCAUGUGCGAAAGCGUGGGGAGCGAAACAGGAUUAGAUACC
Molecule: ribosomal RNA, 456 nt
Filed under: uncultured bacterium
Lineage: Bacteria
Description: bacterial SSU rRNA
Rfam family: Bacterial small subunit ribosomal RNA
Source: RNAcentral